This 342-nucleotide unclassified non-coding RNA is filed under the name soil metagenome. RNAcentral describes it as "partial contains 5.8S ribosomal RNA, internal transcribed spacer 2, and large subunit ribosomal RNA". The stretch from base 1 to 120 matches the Rfam family "5.8S ribosomal RNA", at positions 35 to 154 of the family's 154-position model. The record is from RNAcentral.
GAUGAAGAACGCAGCGAAACGCGAUAAGUAAUGUGAAUUGCAGAAUCCAGUGAAUCAUCGAAUCUUUGAACGCACAUUGCGCCCGCCAGCAUUCUGGCGGGCAUGCCUGUUCGAGCGUCAUUUCAACCCUCGACCUCCCCUUGGGGAGGUCGGCGUUGGGGACCGGCAGCACACCGCCGGCCCUGAAAUGGAGUGGCGGCCCGUCCGCGGCGACCUCUGCGCAGUAAUACAGCUCGCACCGGGACCCCGACGCGGCCACGCCGUAAAACACCCAACUUCUGAACGUUGACCUCGAAUCAGGUAGGACUACCCGCUGAACUUAAGCAUAUCAAUAAGCGGAGA